This is a non-coding RNA of Vicugna pacos (alpaca), 2366 nucleotides long. The record is from RefSeq and is a predicted model, not a curated record. NCBI's taxonomy places the organism in Eukaryota, Metazoa, Chordata, Mammalia, Artiodactyla, Camelidae.
UAUGAGAAUGAAUACACAUUCCCCCAAAAGACUCAUGGUUGUCCUUGACAAUCAUCUCAAAAGAUUAAGAGCACAUAGCAAGUCCCAAGACUCACUUGUCUGCAAUAACUCAGCUCAGUAAACCUUUAUCAAUCAUUUACCAUGUACAAGUGACUGGGCUUGUCAUCUCAGCGGGCAUAAAGAUGAAUAAGACAUGGUACCUGCACCAGAAGAACUUAUUCAUUUCUCAUCCAUUAAGGAAGGGCACAUUCACUCUUGGGCUGGAAGGAACUUUAUGGGCUUGGGUUUGCAAAGUCAAUCAGAAAGGGCUAUGAGUUUCCCCCCAGCACACCCUCUUACCCAGAAGAAAUUUGCACACAGGAACCAUGUGAAGGGAUAUAAGAGGAACACUGUACAAAGACCAGAGCUGAACUGUCACAAGCCGGGGAUGUCUGGGGCUACCAGAAGCUGGAAGAGGCCAGAAAGAAACCUUCUGCAACAGUCAUUAGAGAGAGCCUGGCCCUGGUGACACCUUGAUUUCAGACUUCUAGCCUCCUGGGCUUUGAGACAGUAAAUUUCUGUUGUUGCCCACCACCAGUUUGGGGUUACCAUUUUGUUACGGCAGCUGGAGGAAACUGAUAUGCUCUGUGAAUUGCUUGUCCAUCUUAUUUGCCCACUUUUCAGUGGGGCUCUCGCUUUUUCCUAUAACGUGCAGCUGUUCCUUGUCUGCCCUGGGUCACCUUCGGUUCUUGCCUUUCUCCCUCGGUCACGCCCACCUGCUCCCCUGGGGCCGCUCUGAGGGCAGAGUUUCACGUAGAAGGAAAGGGCAACCCAACCAGAUGCAGGCGAGAGGGAAAGAGAGAACAGGGGUAUCUUCAGGCAGAGGAGGCUUUGCGCGGCCCCCAAACAGAAACGGGAAGGCCGUCUUGGGCUGGAGGACGCUCAGCCUGGAGACAUGGAGGAUCCUCUGCGGUUCUGCACCUACCUUGAACCCUUUAUCCCCAAAGCCUCUGAUGCCCACCUAUGGCUGAGAUCAGUAGGUAAGUCUCAGCUAGAUCCCCAAGCGAUUUUCAGGCCACCCGGUGCCCAUCUUCAAGGAAACCAGCUGUUUGCCUCACACCCACAUAUGUGGGGUCUAGUGGUUACCAAAACCCCGUGGAGAAACCAGGCACCGGGCCACGUUAGGCCUUCUGAAACUGUCCUCUGAUUUGGUUCCCCUGAGCCCUUCAGAAUAUCCAAGGAGGAAGGCCAUGAAAUAUUUAAAAGGUCUUUGCUUCAGAAGGGCACUUUUGUUGCCAAAGCUGGAAAUGUGGAGAGGAGAGGCUACGGCCGGCUGGAAGAAGGCAUCUCCGGCACAUGUGGGUAUGAUUCUGUCCAGGAUGCAGUGUCUAAAAUGAGCCAGUUUCAGCCAUCAUUCAUUUUCACUUCCCUGAACUGUGCCAUCUCUUACUGUCUCACGGUACCUUCCCCGAGAGGCCUCUUACAGGCCCCCACCAGUCCCCAGGCUGCAGCACUGGAAUUCUAGCAACGUGUCUGAGAACCCUCGCUCGGAAACCUCUGCCCCCCUGGGUGUGGUGUGGGGAGAUGACCAGACCCUGAAUCCUGUGCCAAGAAGCUCGACAGUUACUGACACCAAAAAAAGCAAAAAGACGCCGUCUAUAUACCCUUAGUACAUUCAGCUUAACUGAGAAUCUUUUUCAAAAAUUCUCUUUCUUGAAAAAGAUCAAAUGACAUGACUGAGAAGACUCACAAAGCUAUUGCUAGCCUGGAGAACUCAGUCUAGCAUCAAUGUUUUGGUAAACAAACCUCCUUUUAAAGAAUGUCAUUUAACUGUUUAACAAACACGUAUUGCCUGUGAAUUCAAGGCCUUCAGUAGCUGUAUUUUUUUUUAAUAAAAUAGUACUUCUGAACCAAACUGAAUCAUUCCUACAUAUACGUAUGGAACUUAAGGUUCUGUAUUAAGUUUUAUCGCCUUGGGGUGGGGGUGGGGACCUUCACAAACAAGACGUGAGAUUCAGAAGCUGUCAAGGAAAAUGGGCAGAUGUGAAUAUAUAAUAUACUUUUUAAAAGGCUCCUGCCUAGCAACAACAAAAAUGAGGCCAAAAAAAUCAAAUUAAAAAUAAAAGAUAGAUGGGGAAAAGAUGUUGUAUCAUGUACAAGACAUUAGGUCAGUGGCCAUACUCUUCAAAGAACUUAUACAAACUUAAGAAAAGGACCCAAGCCUCCCCUCCACAAAGCCCACAUUCGUAUAUUCCCAGAGAAAAUACAAAUGGAAGAAGAAUAUAUGAUUUUUUCAAAAAAGAAUAUGUGAUAAGAUAUCCAAUCUACUAAAGAAAUAAAAAUCUUAAAUAUGACCUCUCUCCUCAUACUGAUAAACAAAAGCUUAA